RNAcentral lists this long non-coding RNA (610 nucleotides) under Phasianus colchicus (ring-necked pheasant). Its description in RNAcentral is "lncRNA (ENSPCLG00000018948.1)". Lineage: Eukaryota; Metazoa; Chordata; Aves; Galliformes; Phasianidae. The record is from RNAcentral.
AUGGCGGCGAGCAGCGGUAGCGCCGGUUCCACAGGCCCAGCGGGUCCGGUGUCGUUCGGCUUCAGCCGAAAAGCGGAGCGGAGGCGGCUGCUGGCGGCCGGGCCUUGCUCCGAACCGGAGAGCGACGGUGCGGACAUCGAUUACCUCAAGGCGGUAGAAGACCGCGAGUUAUUGAGUGCCAAGCCGGCCCCGCCCCCUCCGAAGGAACUCGUGAUCCCCCUUCGCCCCGCCCACCGCUGGAGGAACCCGGAAGCGCCAAGCUCCGCCCCCUCCUCGCCAGGCCACGCCCCAACCGCAACAAACCACGCCUCCUCGCCAGGCCCCGCCCCCUCUGCAACAAACCACGCCCCCGAUGCCGCAGGCCACGCCCCCGAGGGGGACCCCGUUACCUUGGAAACGGCGGCAGUGCAGGAGCUGCUGCGGGAGGCACGGCAGAGCCAGGAGCAGGGCCAGGAGACCCCCAGUGCAGCCCCCAUCCCCAUGAGGAUGAAGGAGGAGAACGUGGGCAGCGGCGCUCUGCCCGUGAGUUGGGGGUCUGGAACCCCCAGCGACCCCCCUAAGACCCCCUAUGACCCCCCUCAGCACUCCCAACCCUCCCCACAGGACCCCC